GACGAACGCUGGCGGCGUGCUUAACACAUGCAAGUCGAACGGAAAGGCCCUGCUUUUGUGGGGUGCUCGAGUGGCGAACGGGUGAGUAACACGUGAGUAACCUGCCCUUGACUUUGGGAUAACUUCAGGAAACUGGGGCUAAUACCGGAUAGGAGCUCCUACUGCAUGGUGGGGGUUGGAAAGUUUCGGCGGUUGGGGAUGGACUCGCGGCUUAUCAGCUUGUUGGUGGGGUAGUGGCUUACCAAGGCUUUGACGGGUAGCCGGCCUGAGAGGGUGACCGGCCACAUUGGGACUGAGAUACGGCCCAGACUCCUACGGGAGGCAGCAGUGGGGAAUAUUGCACAAUGGGCAGAAGCCUGAUGCAGCAACGCCGCGUGCGGGAUGACGGCCUUCGGGUUGUAAACCGCUUUCGCCUGUGACGAAGCGUGAGUGACGGUAAUGGGUAAAGAAGCACCGGCUAACUACGUG
Molecule: ribosomal RNA, 468 nt
Filed under: uncultured bacterium
Lineage: Bacteria
Description: partial 16S ribosomal RNA
Rfam family: Bacterial small subunit ribosomal RNA
Source: RNAcentral